CCCUUAGAUGUUCUGGGCUGCACGCGCGCUACACUGAAGCUAUCAACACGUUUUCCCUCCCUGAGAAGGGCGGGUAACCUUUUGAAUCAGCUUCGUGGUAGGGAUCGGGGCUUGCAAUUGUUCCCCGUGAACCAGGAAUUCCUAGUAGACGCGAGUCAUAAGCUCGCAUCGAUUAAGUCCCUGCCCUUUGUACACACCGCCCGUCGCUACUACCGAUUGAACGUUUUAGUGAGGCAUUUGGAUCGACGCAUCUCAGUUUAACCGCUGGUUUGUGUUGGAAAGACUUCCAAACUUGAGCGUUUAGAGGAAGUAAAAGUCGUAACA
RNAcentral lists this ribosomal RNA (324 nucleotides) under uncultured eukaryote. Its description in RNAcentral is "partial 18S ribosomal RNA". It matches the Rfam family "Eukaryotic small subunit ribosomal RNA", at positions 1470 to 1796 of the family's 1831-position model. The record is from RNAcentral.